AACCUAUUAGAGAACUAGCUUAAGAAGAACACUUGGAGGGAGCAAAAAGAUUUGGAGAGUAGGAAAUGGCGGCCAAGAUUGCAAGGUCUAGGUCAUCGUUGCCGUUGUCAUCUCCAUUGUCAAAGAAGAAGUAGAGAGCAAAUACAGAACUGAGAGGCUGCUUGGAGCGAAGGAUGUAACAGUAUUAUAGGGGCAUUUUUAUCAUUUGGUUAUGGGCCUAUUCAAUUGAAUUGAAUCCUGCC
RNAcentral lists this unclassified non-coding RNA (242 nucleotides) under Hevea brasiliensis (rubber tree). The record is from RNAcentral. Lineage: Eukaryota; Viridiplantae; Streptophyta; Magnoliopsida; Malpighiales; Euphorbiaceae.